UACGUAGGGGGCCAGCGUUGCUCGGAAUUACUGGGCGUAAAGGGUUCGUAGGUGGUGCGGCAAGUUGGAAGUGAAAUCUCUGGGCUUAACCCAGAGGCUGCUUUCAAAACUGCCGUGCUCGAGUGCGAGAGAGGUCAGUGGAAUUGCAGGUGUAGCGGUGAAAUGCGUAGAUAUCUGCAGGAACACCCGUGGCGAAGGCGGCUGACUGGAUCGCAACUGACACUGAGGAACGAAAGCUAGGGGAGCAAACAGG
This 253-nucleotide ribosomal RNA is filed under the name uncultured bacterium. Its description in RNAcentral is "partial 16S ribosomal RNA". It matches the Rfam family "Bacterial small subunit ribosomal RNA", at positions 524 to 776 of the family's 1533-position model. The record is from RNAcentral.